ACCGCUUUGACUCGAUCUAGAAAAAUCCCGCUGAUCUCCAUCUUCUUCCUAGCUCCCCACGUUUUUUUCAUCUCUUUCCCACCUUUUGUUGCAAUCUCCAGUUUCCCACCAGUCCAUCCACGUCUCCACCUCCUCCACCCUCCAUAACCUCUUAGUAUCCAGCUGCCCGCCAACAAAAGCCGAUUGCCCGCAAAGGCCGCCCAAGUCACUGAUCGAGGCCACGCAUGACACCAUCGUCGCAGGGCAGCAGGAGGAGAUGGCCCGGAAUCAUACUGUGGUUGAGGAGCUCCGACGAAUCGCCGGACGCCGGCAGUGGCCGGGAUGAGCUCCGGCGGAUCCUGCUGGAGUUGGCCGCGGGCGUGGCGCCAAGGACGCGCUGGAGCCGUGGAGCGGCCGGUGCUUCUCUGGAGCCAGCCGCCGCUCUCUGCAGAUGGCAGAGGGCGAGCCCAUCGACGGAGUGUUCUGGCCUCUGGCGCCUUGCUCGCUGCUGCUUCACGCCAUGGAGGUUGCAAUUGCAACCGGUGUAGUCGCGGCGGCGCCCUCUCCAGAUUAUAUUUCGCCCCUGCCUUUCCUCUCCGAUGGGUGGGCUCUUUUUUUUCAGUUUAUUUUCUCUUUGCCAUGACUCAGAUGCAUUUAAUUACCUGCCGACGCAGGUAACUGGAUGCUGCUGUGCUCUAAUACGAUGCAGUCCAGGCACAAGAACUUCCUAGCGGCGUGCCGGAUGUUCCGCCCGCCACCGACACAGCCAGGUACCCAUCCUUUCCAUUUCCUAGAUCUGGUCAUCUCUCCCAAAAUUGAUUGAUACAGGCUGUAUCAUGUUCAGAGACUGUACCGGAACGAAUUACUUAAGCACAAUAUUCAGUAGAUUAUCCGUUAUAAUCAAAGCAUUAGCAUCGAAAAGGCCAAACUACUCUCUUCCGUACAUUGUGUAGCCAAACUGAAAUCCGUGUGCAAUUCUUAUCGUGUGUGUUCUUGACUUUACACCAUCUCAGUGAAGCACAGGACAAUAAAAUAGCCACUUACUCCAACUGCUUCUUUGUUUCAAAUGUGUAUCAUUUAGGUCAUGAACCAGUCCUACGAUUUUAUCUUUAAAACAUGAUCAGUCAUAUAGUGACCAAUUUUCAGCAAUUACCAGCCCUGCUUUCUGAACCUAUAGUUGCUUCAACCUCUUCGUAGUUGACAGGCAAUCUGGCACACUCCUAAAGCCCGAUUACUAUAUAUACACUAUCGGUAGCCAAGGAGUAAUGAACUAAUCCAUACCUAAACUUCAUGUUAUUCCAUAUUGACGAUCAUUUUCCUGUUGAUUAUCUUCAGGAGAUGAACAAUAACUCUCUUUUUGUUGAAUGUGAGCUGACCAGUGGCCUCUCUUCCAUGAAUUUCAGCUGAUCAAUAUCUAGGAAUAUUUGUGAUCGCUUAUAGGAACAACAGAUGCUUCAUCAGUCACAAUGACAACCUCCAGCCCAUGUGCGAUGGUGAUGGAGUUCAUGUCAGAACUUCUCUUCAGCUGCUCUGACUUUCUCUCGCAACCUCAUUGCCAGACACUUGCAACCGGUAAUUGUGGCCUCAUCUCUUCCGUGAGAUUAUUUCCAUAGUGAAGGUUCUUGCUCCACUAUGGAUUAUUUUUAUCCCGUGGCAUCGACAUGUGUUUUUUUUUAAAUUCUCGGUGUGUCUUGAUGGCGGCUUUGUGUAUUUGUCUUAUAGGAUAUCCCACGAUGAUUGGGAACAGUUUUAACCAAAAUAAGAUCAUUCGAUCAGGUGAACGCAGUAGUCUGUUUAUCUUACAAAUGAAGUGGACGAGAGCAUAAAUCUCAUUUGGUGGUGUGUGUGAUCUUAUGUAUCAUUAUCUAACUCAUUUUUGUUGUUGUGGUUUAUAGCCUUCACAGGCUCCUGGGCGAUUUAUGCUGUCUUGCAUGUGGUUCGCCAUCUGUUUGCUUCGGCUGCCACUCCUGUUGGUGGUUCUUCAUUGUUUACUUUCUUCCUCCUGUUCUAUAUGUUUUUUGUCUGUGGAUGCUUGGAGGGGAGAUUUUUUUGAGCGAGCGGACCGUUUGUUGUUCUGAUGAUUCUCCACGUCAUGUCACUUCUUCUGGUCCAUCUCAGUCUGCGACGCUUGGUGUUAGUGUAUUAUGUUUGGUUGACUCCUCCGAGCAUAUUGAAACCUCCUUCCAAACAUGCUGAUGUUACAUAUACCCUCCAUCAAGUGUGUUCUUCCAUGUAAGCAACAUAGAUGUACAGUCCUAUAGGUGCUAUGCUGCAGUGUUCCGCACAUAAUAUUUGUGUGUUGGUUCCUUCUAUAAGUAAGAAUUCUUCAACUCUCUCUACUUUAUUUUCUUUUCCCCAAUUCAAGUUUAUUAUUUAUCAAUUCUUUUGAUUGAUAUGGCAAGAUUUCUACAACGAUAAGAUCAAAUUAGCUGUUUCAUUGCUACUGCAAUACUACGUAUUCAUUCUCUGGAAUCAUGUAAAUAUUUGAGUUUAUAUGCCUUUUCCUGCAUUUAGUUCUUCCACUUUGCUUGCUUUGUAACCAUGACUUCAAAUCUACAUUUCUAAUUCUCUCUUCCCUUUUUGGUGCACCAAUAGAUGUCCCUAUCGGUUUUCGGUAGCCGACACACUGGUUCAUCUAAAGAGUAUAACUGUUGAUCAUCUAAUGUGUGGAGAUGUUGAAUCGUGCAGACAAUGCUAUCUCCAAGUGCACUAGACUAGACCCGUCUGAGUUCACAUGUAUCGUCUGUUUUUAGAAGAUUAUACGAAUAUUAGAUUUAUAUCAAAGUUCUCGAAAUGACACAGCUGAAGGUUCAUCUUCACAAAAUGCACCGGCAUUUCUGUUUCUCAAUAAAUACACUGUUUUUGUGGACAAGGCUGAGUAUCUUCAGCAGAUAACUAAAAGUUAUAGGUAUGAAACCGCGCCUACUGCAUCUACAAUUUGUAUAAUUUAUCAUGCUGAAUGCUAUAUUUCGCCAAAGUUGCUUGAUCUGGGUGCUAUUCAGUAAUAUUUGGUCUUGGACCGCUAACCUGAUACUUUGCACACCUGUAGUCUUAGUUUGAUGCGGGUGUCGAGUACACCACAUAUAAGCUCACUACAUGGUGCAUUGGCACCGAGGUCAUAGCAGCUGCCCUAUGCAUUAAAGUGUUAGUAUUACAUUUUGCAGAUUUAGCUCAAGUCUACAAGGAGGGGAACUGCAAAUCUUCAGUACUUUGCUGUAUCCAUAGAAGUUGAUACAUUGCUAGAUGAAGCGUACUCUCUUUUGGUGGGAUUGUAAUAAGUUGUUGGGACCAAAUGGUAGCGUGAUUUGUCACUUUCAUGUUCUUUAGUCUGUGUUGCUCCAUAGUUGUGAUCAGUUUGCUCUCUACCAUGUUGUUUUCAUCAAUUUAGUUAGCAUGUAUGUACUGUUUUUGAACGUAUAUAUAUGUCCAGUGACAGAUUCUAAUCUC
This is a long non-coding RNA of Lolium perenne, 3426 nucleotides long. RefSeq lists it as uncharacterized. NCBI's taxonomy places the organism in Eukaryota, Viridiplantae, Streptophyta, Magnoliopsida, Poales, Poaceae. The record is from RefSeq and is a predicted model, not a curated record.